Molecule: ribosomal RNA, 304 nt
Filed under: uncultured bacterium
Lineage: Bacteria
Description: partial 16S ribosomal RNA
Rfam family: Bacterial small subunit ribosomal RNA
Source: RNAcentral
CAGCAGUCGCCACGGUAAUACAGAGGGUGCAAGCGUUAAUAGGAAUUACUGGGCGUAAAGCGCGCGUAGGUGGUUUGUUAAGUUGGAUGUGAAAUCCCCGGGCUCAACCUGGGAACUGCAUCCAAAACUGGCAAGCUAGAGUAUGGUAGAGGGUGGUGGAAUUUCCUGUGUAGCGGUGAAAUGCGUAGAUAUAGGAAGGAACACCAGUGGCGAAGGCGACCACCUGGACUGAUACUGACACUGAGGUGCGAAAGCGUGGGGAGCAAACAGGAUUAGAUACCCCUGUAGUCCCUGUCUCUUAUAC